This 497-nucleotide ribosomal RNA is filed under the name uncultured bacterium. Its description in RNAcentral is "partial 16S ribosomal RNA". It matches the Rfam family "Bacterial small subunit ribosomal RNA", at positions 28 to 507 of the family's 1533-position model. The record is from RNAcentral.
GAUGAACGCUGGCGGCGUGCCUAAUACAUGCAAGUCGAGCGAACGGACGAGAAGCUUGCUUCUCUGAUGUUAGCGACGGACGGGUGAGUAACACGUGGAUAACCUACCUAUAAGACUGGGAUAACUUCGGGAAACCGGAGCUAAUACCGGAUGAUAUUUUGAACCGCAUGGUUCAAAAGUGAAAGACGGUCUUGCUGUCACUUAUAGAUGGAUCCGCGCUGCAUUAGCUAGUUGGUAAGGUAAUGGCUUACCAAGGCAACGAUGCAUAGCCGACCUGAGAGGGUGAUCGGCCACACUGGAACUGAGACACGGUCCAGACUCCUACGGGAGGCAGCAGUAGGGAAUCUUCCGCAAAGGGCGAAAGCCUGACGGAGCAACGCCGCGUGAGUGAUGAAGGUCUUCGGAUCGUAAAACUCUGUUAUUAGGGAAGAACAUAUGUGUAAGUAACUGUGCACAUCUUGACGGUACCUAAUCAGAAAGCCACGGCUAACUACGUG